RNAcentral lists this long non-coding RNA (452 nucleotides) under Gossypium raimondii (Peruvian cotton). RNAcentral's name for it is "long non-coding RNA (GRAI_LNC006261)". Lineage: Eukaryota; Viridiplantae; Streptophyta; Magnoliopsida; Malvales; Malvaceae. The record is from RNAcentral.
CCUGAAGAUGCAAUGGGAUGGAAUAAGACUCAUUCAAGAGAAGAAGCACAAAAAAUUCAAGACUCGGUAAGACUGGGCAAAAUUAGUCCUUUUAAAUCUUUGCUCCAUUCUCGUUACACGAUAAUGAGCAAAGAGGGGCAGUUGUAAUAGCCCAAUUUUACCCAGGCACAAAUCAGACAAAAAAAACAAAGAAAAAAUAAAUAAAAAUCUCAAAUAUUAGCAGUCCAUCAGAUCCAAAUUAAAAGCCCAAAAAAUAAUAAACCCUAAGGCCCAACAAGCCCACAACCUAAACAGAAAAACAAAGAAAACCCUAGCCCCGAGCCUGUUGCCGCCGUACCUAGCCCCUGACAACUCUGCCACCACUACCUGCAAGGAAAUAUGGACACCUGCAACGCGCAACAAACACGUGAGAAAAAAAAACAGAGAAAAAAAUAAAAAAAAAUAAAGACCAA